CGACGGUGCCUGCUGCUACGUGGAGGUUGCGGACGACCAGGAGUAGUUUAGGAGGUUCCCAGGCAGGAGGCCUCGCCUCGUUCGAUCGUUGUUUAUUUUGUGCUAGCCUUCUCCGAGGCAUUUUCAUGUUUCAUGUCUGUAUUCACAUAUUUAUUGCUUCCGUUGACUCAUGUGUUUAUCGAGCUUCCGUAUUCUAGCCCUCGAGGCCCCUGG
RNAcentral lists this long non-coding RNA (213 nucleotides) under Hordeum vulgare. RNAcentral's name for it is "long non-coding RNA (HVUL_LNC008881)". Lineage: Eukaryota; Viridiplantae; Streptophyta; Magnoliopsida; Poales; Poaceae. The record is from RNAcentral.